This is a long non-coding RNA of Salvelinus namaycush (lake trout), 879 nucleotides long. RefSeq lists it as uncharacterized. The record is from RefSeq and is a predicted model, not a curated record. Lineage: Eukaryota; Metazoa; Chordata; Actinopteri; Salmoniformes; Salmonidae. The transcript has 4 exons.
AAAGGGGGAAGGGAAACUGAGAUUGGAGGGAGAGAAACUGAGAUAUCCAUGACAACCAGUUUGACAUACCAUGUCAUGAGUGCCCCCUAUUGGUUGGAUCUUGUCAAGGAGAAGGCACACUUCACCAAGACUCACCCCACCUUGGUUUGAGCAUUGUUAUAUUGUGGAUGUGAGGUGCCAACAUUGAGUGUCAAAGCAAUGAAGCAGCUGGGAAAGAGGGAGGCCACCCUAGAUCAGCAGUGUCCAUACCCAGCUCUGCAGCCCCUCUAAUGGGGCAGGAUGCAAAACAACAUGUAUUCAAUGAGAUCUACCUGUUGACUACUCUGGACCGAGAGAGCGAGAGGAAGGAAGGGGACGUUUGACAAGCAGUAUUUGUGGAAAGGGACACAGCAGACAUGGGGGUCUUCCCAAUACCUCUUCUGACUGCCUCAUUCUUGGGAAAAAGGCUUUAAAGGGUAGAACAGGGAUUACACACUCACACACAGACACACACACUCAUGCCAUGGAAGGGGACAGUGGUGUCACAGCACACACAGAGGGUCUGAAUGGUGUGUUCCAUCAUGAAUGUAAAGAGACAGAGGAGCUAACCAAUGGCCACUCCAACCACAAACCUGUGAUGAAUGGACUGAUGCCAGGUCAUAGUGUCAAAGAGCACGCCAACGGUAGUUCAGUGCUCAAAUCUCUGCCAGUGAGUUGCUCUAUACUGGCCCUCAUCAUGUAAAAAAUGUGACAGAAACCAUCCAUCACAGCACCACUGUCCCUGUUCUCUUUCUAUUAGAGUUUCUGUGUUUACAUAUAUUUUAUAUUUUAUUGUGAUUCGUCUAGAUUUCAGCUCUGAAGCAGAAUGGCCUUCUGCAGUCCCUGGCAGCAGGAGGAAAG